UUCAAGGCCUUAAGUAUUUUUAUGUUCAGACAGAUCGAUUCAAGCAAUCUAAACAUUCCUAAACCUCAAUUCAAAUUAGAAAUCAAUCAAUCAAGAUCAUUCUUAAAAUCGGCUACAAGCUUCUUUUAGGGUUUAGGGUUUUCGAUUCCUUGAUUAGGGUUUCUCAAUUUUAGAUUCAAUCAAUCAACAUUCAACCAGGUUCUAAUUGGAAUCGAUUUAUGUUUCUAGUUCUAAGAGAUUGUCGAUUUUAAUCUCAUUGUUUCUUUUAGGGUUUCAUCAAGACAUGGAAUUAGGGUUCUUAUUUUCUAUGUUCUAGGAUCCAGAUACCUCUGUUUGAAGGGUUGAACCGGACCACCAAGAAACUGAUGAACCUCGGACCUUGACUGGACAGACACUGCUCCCUAUGAGAUUAAGCGGAUGGCAUAAGAAGCUGAUUGGCUGGAUCCCUCAGGGUGCACAGCCGACCGACCAUGAUUUUACUAGAAGGGUUAGGUGAAAUGAGCAUGCCUGUGGGACCGAAGGAUGGUGAACUAUGCCUGAAGCGAGGCCCGAAACAGAGAGAGGAAAACUCUGGUGGAGGCCAGCGAUCUGUGAUGCAAAUCGUUCGUCUGACUUGCUUGCGGGGCGAAAAGUAUCGAACCAUCUAGUAACGCUGGUUCCUCCGAGAGAAGUUUCCCUCGGAAUGGUAGACUCGGAAGCGAGUUAUCGGGUAAACCAAUGAUUAGAGACGCCGGGGGCCGCAACGUCCUCGACCUAUUCUCAAACUUUAAAUAAUGGGUAGGACGAGUUGGCUGCUUUAACUGAACCAUCCGCAGUCGAGAGUAGUGGGCCAUUUUGGUAGCGGUGGCGAUGCCGGGAUGAACCAGGAAGCGAUUCUGAUUCUGAUUCUUAACUAGAACCCCAAAAGUGUUGGAAUUACGAUUAAAGGGCCGGUGGUCAUGGAAGUCGAAAUCCGCUAAAGUGUGUAACAACUCACCUGCCGAAUCGACUAGCCGAAAAUGGAUGGCUGAAGCCUUGCGACCUAUACCGACCGUGGGGCAAGAGCGAGGCCUCGAUGGUAGGAGAGAGGCGGUCGCUACAAAACCUAGAGGCUUGAGCCUGGCCAGGCGACCGUCAGUGCAGAUCUUGGUGGUAGUAGCAAAUAUUCAAAUGAGAACUUUGAAGGGCGAAAGGGAAAGGUUCCAUGUGAGCGGCACUUGCGCAUGGGUUAGUCGAUCCUAAGAGUCGGAAACCGUCUGAUAAGCGCUUAUCUUGUGAACCCGAGGAUCGGUUAAAAUCCCGGAACCGGGGACGUGGCGGUUGGCAGCGUUAGGGAGUCCGGGGCGUGGCGGGAAUUCCGGGAAAGAGUUAUCUUUUCUGUUUAACAGCCUGCCCACCCUGGAAGCGGCUCGGCGGAGGUAAAGUCCAAUGACUGGAAGAGCACGCCGCGUCGCGUGGUGUCGGUGCAUUCCGGCGACUAUGAAAAUCAGGAGGACGAGUGCGCUCGCCCGGUCAUUACUCAUAACGCAUCAGGUCUCCAAGGUGAAACAGCCUACAGUCGAUGGAACAAUGUAAAGGAAAUGGCCAAAAUGGAUCCGUAACCCGGAAAAGGAUUAGCUCGAGGGCUGGGCUCGGGGUCCCGAUUCGAACCGUCACUGUUGGCGGGCUGCUUGAGCAGUCGCGUGAAAGCGGACCGCCCUCGUGUCGGCGGGGGCGGACUGGGAAGCGGCUCUUUGGGAGCUUUCCCGGGCGUCGAACAGCUUGACUUCGAGAACUGAAAUGCGGACAAGGGAAUCCGGCAUUUAAUUAAAACAAAGCAUUGCGAUGGUCUUGCCGGAUGCUAGCUUAAUGAUGAUUUCUGCCAGUGCUCUGAAUGUCAAAGUGAAGAAAUUCAAUAGCCCGGAGUAAGCGGUAGGGAGUAACUAUGACUCUCUUAAGGUAGCCAAAUGCCUCGUCAUCUAAUUAGUAAUGGCAUGAAUGGAUUAUGAGAUUCCCACUGUCCCUGUCACUAUCCAGCGAAACCACACCCGAGGCGGGCUUGGCGAGAAUCAGCGGGGAAAGACCACCCUGUUGAGCUUGACUCUAGUCGACUUUGUGAAAAAUGACUUGAAGGUGUAGAAUAAAUUGGAACUCGCGCCAAGUGAAAUACCACUACUUUUAGCGUUAUUUUACUUACUCAAGUGAAUCGGAAUGGUAACAACCCCUUCUUUUAGACCAGACUUCGCUUGAGGUCGAUCCGGCGGAGGACAUUGUCGGUGGGGAGUUUGGCUGAAGGCGGCACAUCUGUUAAAAGAUCGCGCAGGUGUCUAAGAUGAGCUUCAGCGAGAAAGAAAUCUCGUGUGGAACAAAGGGUAAAAGCUCGUUUGAUUCUGAUUUUCAAUGCGAAUCUGAACCGUGGCGUGGCCCUAUCGAUCCUUUAGAUCUUGAAUUUGAAGCUAGAGGUGUCGGAAAAGUUACCACAGGGACUGGCUUGUAGCUGGCAAGCGUUCAUAAGCGACGUUGCUUUUGAUCGCCGAUGUCGGCUCUUCUAUCAUUGUGAAGCAGAAUUCACCAAGUGUUGGAUUGUUCACCCGCAAUAGGGAGCGUGAGCUGGGUUUAGACCGUCGUGAGACAGGUUAAUUUUACCCUCUUGAUGCCAGCGUCGCAAUGGUAAUUCAACUGUAUGAGAGGAACCGUUGGUCGCACAAUUGGUCAUCGGCGGUUGAAAAACCGAUCAGCGUGAAGCUACCGUCGCUGGAUUAUGACUGAGCGCCUCUAAGUCAGAAUCGGGCUGGCGGCGCGUCGCCCGCGCCGCCGAUUGCCGACCCUCGAUGGAGCUUGGCUCCCAAACGCGAUGUCGUUGGCUAAGUCCGAUUCGUGAGCGCCGUUCGGACCAUAUGAAUUAUAAUUACCACCGGCGGUGGGUAGAAUCGCUUGCGAGGCGAAAUGCCAGCGGCGGGGUAUUGU
This 2925-nucleotide ribosomal RNA is filed under the name Brassica oleracea (wild cabbage). RNAcentral's name for it is "eukaryotic LSU rRNA". It matches the Rfam family "Eukaryotic large subunit ribosomal RNA". Lineage: Eukaryota; Viridiplantae; Streptophyta; Magnoliopsida; Brassicales; Brassicaceae. The record is from RNAcentral.